GGACCUAUGGCGCAACGGUAGCGCGUCUGAUUCCAGUCUUAUUCGGAAUCUCCAGAAGGUUAGCCGUUCGAAUCGGCUUAGGUUCA
Non-coding RNA from Westerdykella ornata, 86 nucleotides. NCBI's taxonomy places the organism in Eukaryota, Fungi, Ascomycota, Dothideomycetes, Pleosporales, Sporormiaceae. The record is from the annotation of a RefSeq genome assembly.